RNAcentral lists this ribosomal RNA (788 nucleotides) under uncultured archaeon. RNAcentral's name for it is "bacterial SSU rRNA". It matches the Rfam family "Archaeal small subunit ribosomal RNA", at positions 85 to 879 of the family's 1478-position model. The record is from RNAcentral.
ACUGCUCAGUAACACGUAGCUAAUCUACCCUUAAGUCAAGGAUAACCUCGGGAAACUGAGGAUAAUACUUGAUAGGAGAUAUACCCUGGAAAGAUUUAUCUCAUAAAUUCGAGCUUAAGGAUGAGGCUGCGGCGGAUUAGGUGGUUGGCGGGGUAAAGGCCCACCAAGCCGAUGAUCCGUAAGGGCUCUUAGCGGAGAGGCCCUGAGAGGGAAUCUGAGACACUAUUCCCAGCCCUACGGGGUGCAGCAGGUAAGAAUCUUUUGCAAUGCGCGCAAGCGUGACAAAGCGAGCCAGAGUGCUUUUCAAUUGAAAAGCUUUUGCUAAAUCUAAAAAUUUUGGCGAAUAAGGACUGGGUAAGACUAGUGCCAGCCGCCGCGGUAAUCCUAGCGGUCCAAGUCGCAGCCAUCAUUAUUGGGUCUAAAACAUCCGUAGCUUGCUUAAUAAGUUCCUUGUGAAAUCUUAUCUCUUAAGGGUGAGGCGUGCAAGGAGUACUGCUAAGCUAGAGACUGGAAGACGUAAGAAGUAUGCUCAAAGUAGCGGUAAAAUGUGUUAAUCUUGAGCAGACUCACAACAGCGAAGGCAUCUUACGAGGACAGUUCUGACAGUAAAGGAUGAAGGCUAGGGGCGCGAAGUGGAUUAGAUACCCAUGUAGUCCUAGCAGUAAACACUGCGCACUAAACAUUAGUACCUCCUCGAGAGGUAUUGGUGCUGUAGAGAAGUCGAAGAGUGCGCUACCUGGGAAGUAUAGCCGCAAGGCCGAAACUUAAAGGAAUUGGCGGGGGAGCAC